Molecule: long non-coding RNA, 541 nt
Filed under: Brachypodium distachyon (stiff brome)
Lineage: Eukaryota; Viridiplantae; Streptophyta; Magnoliopsida; Poales; Poaceae
Description: long non-coding RNA (BDIS_LNC000038)
Source: RNAcentral
UGGGCUUUGCGGAGGAGCCCGCCCGUGCUGCCGCCGAAGAUUGGGGAUGGGGUUGAGGGGUCGAGCUGGGGCGGGACGAAGCCGGCGGGGGCUGGGGUGGCGACGGGAGCCGCCGGGGUUUCUGGGGCGGCGGCGUGGAGGGCGGUUGGGGCGCGGGAGGUGGGGGAAGGGAAGGCGAGGGAGCGGGGUUUGGGGGAGGAGGAAGGGGACCGGGUGGCGGCGAGGAGGUGGCGGGUGGCGGCGGAGGCUUGCGUGGCCAUGGCCAUGGCGGGAGCUAGCUUAGCGAGAGCAAGGAGCGCGCGUGUGGGGGAUGGAUAUGGAUCGGAGUUGAUGGAGGGAAGAAGAAGAAGGGGUGGCUGAGCUUUGGCUAAAGAGGGGAUUGGGGGUGGAGAAGCGGAUAAGGGGAUAUGAGGCCGGCCAAUGGGGAGCCCGGGUUUUGAUACGGCCGGAGCGGGAGGCUUGGCGUGGCGACCACAGAAAACACAAUACAAAUCGCAGCGUGUCAACGUGCACUGGGGUCGCCGGUCGCGGUUUUCCGUGG